This 699-nucleotide ribosomal RNA is filed under the name uncultured bacterium. Its description in RNAcentral is "bacterial SSU rRNA". It matches the Rfam family "Bacterial small subunit ribosomal RNA", at positions 8 to 700 of the family's 1533-position model. The record is from RNAcentral.
AGAGUUUGAUCCUGGCUCAGAUUGAACGCUGGCGGUAUGCUUAACACAUGCAAGUCGAACGGUAACAGCAUCUAGCUUGCUAGAUGGCUGACGAGUGGCGGACGGGUGAGUAACGCGUAGGAAUCUGUCCAGAAGAUUGGGACAACACGAGGAAACUCGUGCUAAUACCGGAUAUGCUCUACGGAGUAAAGGCGGGAUUUAUCCUGUCGCUUUUGGGUGAGCCUGCGUUGGAUUAGCUUGUUGGUGGGGUAAUGGCCUACCAAGGCGACGAUCCAUAGCUGUUCUGAGAGGAAGAUCAGCCACACUGGGACUGAGACACGGCCCAGACUCCUACGGGAGGCAGCAGUGGGGAAUAUUGGACAAUGGGCGCAAGCCUGAUCCAGCAAUACCGCGUGUGUGAAGAAGGCCUGAGGGUUGUAAAGCACUUUCAGCGAGGAGGAAGUUAAUACGGUUAAUACCCGUAUUGAUUGACGUUACUCGCAGAAGAAGCACCGGCUAACUCUGUGCCAGCAGCCGCGGUAAUACAGAGGGUGCAAGCGUUAAUCGGAAUUACUGGGCGUAAAGCGUGCGUAGGCGGAUGCUUAAGUCAGAUGUGAAAGCCCCGGGCUCAACCUGGGAAUUGCAUCUGAAACUGGGCGUCUAGAGUAUGGUAGAGGAUGGCGGAAUUUCCGGUGUAGCGGUGAAAUGCGUAGAUAUCGG